GCAGUAGGGAAUCUUCCGCAAUGGACGAAAGUCUGACGGAGCAACGCCGCGUGAGUGAUGAAGGUUUUCGGAUCGUAAAGCUCUGUUGUUAGGGAAGAACAAGUACCGUUCGAAUAGGGCGGUACCUUGACGGUACCUAACCAGAAAGCCACGGCUAACUACGUGCCAGCAGCCGCGGUAAUACGUAGGUGGCAAGCGUUGUCCGGAAUUAUUGGGCGUAAAGGGCUCGCAGGCGGUUUCUUAAGUCUGAUGUGAAAGCCCCCGGCUCAACCGGGGAGGGUCAUUGGAAACUGGGGAACUUGAGUGCAGAAGAGGAGAGUGGAAUUCCACGUGUAGCGGUGAAAUGCGUAGAGAUGUGGAGGAACACCAGUGGCGAAGGCGACUCUCUGGUCUGUAACUGACGCUGAGGAGCGAAAGCGUGGGGAGCGAACAGGAUUAGAUACCCCC
Molecule: ribosomal RNA, 447 nt
Filed under: Bacillus subtilis
Lineage: Bacteria; Bacillati; Bacillota; Bacilli; Caryophanales; Bacillaceae
Description: bacterial SSU rRNA
Rfam family: Bacterial small subunit ribosomal RNA
Source: RNAcentral